This is an RNA transcript of Hypanus sabinus (Atlantic stingray), 4354 nucleotides long. It is a transcript of the gene named E3 SUMO-protein ligase PIAS4-like, with no coding region annotated. The record is from RefSeq and is a predicted model, not a curated record. NCBI's taxonomy places the organism in Eukaryota, Metazoa, Chordata, Chondrichthyes, Myliobatiformes, Dasyatidae. The transcript is spliced from 13 exons.
GUGCCUGGCCUGUUGAGUUCCUCCAGCAUUUUGCGUGUGUUGCUUGGAUUUCCAGCAUCUGCAGAUUUUCUCUUGUUUGUGAUUGAACCCAUGAACACUAUGUCACAUUUCUUUAUUAUGCACUACUUAUUUCAACAACUAUGUAAUAGGCACAAUAUACUUACUGUACUUCAGUUUUUCUCUAUAUUUCUUUGUUGUGUAUUUCAUUAUACUGCUACCCUAAAGUUAACAAAUUUCACAACAUGCUGGUAAUAUUAAACCUGAUUCUGAUUAGAAGUUGCCCUUCCCUGCUGUGUCACAGAGAUUCUACAGAGCUGGAAACUUGGACUACCACAUACAAAAUGCUAGAGGAACUCGGCAUAUCAAGUAGCAUCUGUGGAGGGUAAUGAACAGUGAAGAGGGAGGAGAGGAGCUUUUUAAAGCACACCCCAGCCGGCGAUAUCCCUGCUUGGGACGAAUCUCCCGGCGGGAACCGGCCGAGGAAAUUCGCGGCCCCGAGGUCAACGCUGUACCGACGGCCUCCGGCCACAUGGCGGCGUUGCGGAAUCACCCCGCCCUCUCCCGUUACUAGGCGGCGCUGCCGAGCGCGGCCAACUCCAGACAGAAUCCCAACCUCCUUCCCGGCUGGCUGGCAACCUGCAUGUGAAAAACCUUCUUUUUCAGAAUGGAUGUAUCAUUGUCUUCUGAUCAAGAGAUUCCAUCUAGUGCAGAAGAACAUGUGGAAGUUGAAGUAUCUGUUUUCCAGAUAGAAAGGGAGGAACCUGAAGAAGCAAUUGUACGAAUUAGACUGGGUAAUCGAUUACGGCAAAGAAGGCGACGUCAGCGUCUUCGUGCUGCUAGAAAUGAAGCACAGAGAGUGGAACCAUUGCAAAAUGGAUGUCAAUUACAAGUUACUGCAAAUGAAACUGAACAACCUGAAACUCAUUCGGAGAUUUUGCAGUUGAACCAAAAACAGCUUGAAAGCAUUCCUAAUGGCAACAAUGCCGAGUCUUCCACUGUUGAAGAUACUGCUAAUCAACUGGAAGAAAAUAGAGAGACUAUCGAUUUACGUGACUUUGAGCGAAUCCUGAGACGUCGAGAGAGUAUACGCUUGAGCCAACGAAGGCGGCGAGAACGUCUUCGUAACUUGAGUCGUAGUCUUGAAUCUUCUGAUCCACUUGCAAGAUGUCGAAACAUGAUCCUGGGCUUUAGGAUAUCUGAGCUUCAAGCACUUUUAAGAUUUGCAGGACGUAACAAAAGCGGACUGAAACAUGAAUUGGUGUCACGAGCCUUACACCUGGUAAGGACCAACUGUUCGUCAGAGAUUCUAAAGAAGAUUCAAGACUUGCAUGCUCAGAGGAACAGUUUAGCUUCAACAAAUGCACAGAGUCAACCGCUUCUGUCUGCGCCAACCUUUCCUUUGCAUUCUUCAGAAGCAGCUUUGAAUGCAAGAACAUCAGUUCCAAUUUGUCUCGCAGGAAAGGAUGAUACAAAGUCUAAAGUGAGAUUAACAAAAUUGCCUUUCUAUGAAAUAUUGGAUAAUCUCAUGGUACCUACAGAACUAGUCCCAACCAGCAUAGAGAGGAUUCAAUCAAAUGAGUUUCGUUUUGCAUUAACUGAAAAGCAAAGAGAGCAGAUUAUUGCUGGGUGCUCUAAAACUGGUGUGCAGACAGUUCAAGUUCAGUUAAGGAUUUGUCAUACAGACACUGAAUUUAUUCAGGAAGACCAGUAUCCCCCCUACCUGUCAAUAAAAGUAAACUCAAGAGUGUGUCCUUUCACGAGUUACUUUUCAUCAAGAAGACCUGGAGUAGAGCCAAGAAGACCUUGUCGACCCAUUGAUGUUACGCCUCUUCUCAAUUUGACAUCUCGUGGAGCUAACUACGUAAAAGUAUUUUGGGGCCAUUUUACUCAGCGAUAUUCUGUGGUACUAAACCUGGUAAGGCAGCACAGAGCUGCAGAGUUGUUGCAGAAACUUCAAGUAAAUGAAACCAGAGCCUCGGAAGUGUCCAGGGAGUUAAUUCGCAAAAAGCUUCAGCUGGAACCUGAUAAUGAUGUUACCACAACUGGCCUUCGUGUCUCUCUUAUGUGUAGCCUUGGUAAGAUGCGCCUUUCAGUGCCCUGCCGUGGUAUUACCUGCACACAUUUACAGUGUUUUGAUGCAGCUCUAUAUAUUCAGAUGAAUGAAAAAAAACCUACAUGGAUGUGCCCUGUGUGUGACAAGCCAGCUCCUUAUGAACUGUUGUUUGUAGAUCAACUGUACCUCUUGCGUGACCAGCUUCAGGUCGGGAGGCAGUUGGACAAAGCAUCUGUAACCCAACAGCACCAGGCUGUUUUUAGAUAUAUUGAAGGAGUGUGAAGAUGCUACUGAAGUUCAGUUUAAGGAUGAUGGCAGCUGGUCUCCAAUAAAGCCAGAAAAACAGCCUCAGAAGAACUUUGGAACCAAAUGUUCAGUAGUGGAAUUAGAUGAUUCCAGCAACAAUCAGUUUAGUAAUCCUGCAAAUGGCAAAAGUGAUGUGGACAUUAUCGACCUGACUGUAGACUGUUAAUAAGGAGGAUCAGCUGUUCAAAAAGAAUGUUACUGUGAAUGUUGGAGAGAGUUCAACAAACAUGAAGGACGCAUUAUGGAAAGAUCCAUUGAAAGAAGUCUACCUCUGACAUUGUAGGCUUUACUUUCAUUGAGGCCCUCCAGCCAUACCUACCUCUUGAAAGGAUUAGUACAGUAAAAGAUGACAAAUGGUCUGUUUGGAGAAAUGCUGCUCCUGAAGGGUGCAUUGUUGUAGAUGUGAAGGACGGAUACAUAGUUUAUAAAUUGUUUGGAGAAACGAGUACAGUACCCCAUAGUUGGAUUGCUUUUAAAUUCUGCUGUAUUAACUGCUGAACAAACAUUGAUACCUGGUCAUGUUCUUGUUCUUAGAAUGAAGCAUAUAGGAACAAAGUUUAACUGGCUUCUCCUGUUAAUUGCUUUCAUUUUUAAUUUCCAAAGCAAGUGCUUGCGUCAUGGAAACCGAAGAGUUUAUAAGUUGAUUUUAGAAGCUGAAACAUUUUGGGUUAGUGGUGUAUGCUAGCCCUUUUCCAUUUCGCUGUUUGAUUCUAAACACCUUGCAAAUAUAUUAGUAUUGGUUAAAACUGAGGUAGCUAUAGACAAACAGUGUUGAUUACAACUUUAGUUUAAACAGGUAGUUUGGAGGUGCAAAAAAACUUGCCUACUUAAUCCUUUUCCCACUACCUUGCAAAAAUGGUAAGUUUCCAGGAAAGUAUGACAUGAGUGUAAGUGCUACUCUCAAGAUGGGAAGGCUUGAGAGAGGAGUGUUUUGAGUGUUUUGCAUUUAUGAAUCUCUUAAGAUUUUAAGUUCGGCUAACUGGAUGGAAAGAUUUUGAAAUUUGACUGCAUCCUCCAUUAUCACUGCAGGAAAAUAGUAAUACAAAAUAAAAACUACAAAGAAUAUCCAAUCCAAAGAUUCAAUACUUGAAAUUUUCUUCCUGAAAAGGGUGCAAACAUGGAGGCUCCUUUUUUUUGAUGGAGUAGUAUUCCUUGUCAACUACACUGCCCAUAUUUAUUAUCGUUUAAUUUUCCAAACUUAUGGGCACCACAUUAGAAAACAUUGAGAUUGUGUGGAUCAAUGAGUAGAUUUUGCCAGUGCAUUUUCUGUUCGUUUCCACCAUGAAGCACUCUAGAAUUAUGCAAGGAGGCUGCCCUAUUUUUUUUUCCUUCCUUGGACAGGAAAAUUUGCUGAUAAGGAAUCCAAAUACUAGUCCAAGUUUGACUUGAACAUUAUUGAGCCCAUUACUUUGGUGCUCUAGCUACUGAUGUACCACAUGGUUGACAGUUGUUAUUCCUUUGUUACUUUGAAUAUGUUGCUGUACAAAGUUGUACAUAUUAUAUAGUUUAUUUAGUUUAUUUGUAACACUCAAAUUAGUUAUGUCACAAUGCAGAUUCCAAAUGAAUUGUUUGAGCAACAAGCAGAUCUUUGGGGUAUUUUACAUAUCAGGUUCAUCACUGAUUCCUAUAGUUAUUGUGAUGUGAAAAAAAUUGAACAUUGCUAACAAUUACUUUUUCAGCAGUUAAAUGAGAAUUAAUCCUGGAAAAUUUAGAUUUACUGCAUAAAGAUUCUGAAGAGAAAUUAUUUAGGUUAAUUAAUUUUUGCCUGUCUCCGAUUCCAUGUACUGUAUUGGCAUUAUUUCUGUUAAAACCGUAAAUCACUUUGGGUGAGUUUACUACUUUGACAGAAAAUUUUACCUGUCAUCUGGUUAUUAAAAUGAAAUAUGGUCAAGCAAAUUUAUUUUACAAUAACAAUGGUUUGCACCAUGAUUUUCAUGUGAAUAUCAGUGUUUAUGCUAUUGUCUCUGCCAUUAAAUUAAAGCUUUGGAUCACUAA